RNAcentral lists this ribosomal RNA (914 nucleotides) under uncultured bacterium. RNAcentral's name for it is "bacterial SSU rRNA". It matches the Rfam family "Bacterial small subunit ribosomal RNA", at positions 28 to 922 of the family's 1533-position model. The record is from RNAcentral.
AUUAAGGCCUGGGCGGCAGGUCUACACAUGCAAGUCGAGCGGAACGAGUUAUCUGAACCUUCGGGGAACGAUAACGGCGUCGAGCGGCGGACGGGUGAGUAAUGCCUAGGAAAUUGCCCUGAUGUGGGGGAUAACCAUUGGAAACGAUGGCUAAUACCGCAUAAUGCCUACGGGCCAAAGAGGGGGACCUUCGGGCCUCUCGCGUCAGGAUAUGCCUAGGUGGGAUUAGCUAGUUGGUGAGGUAAUGGCUCACCAAGGCGACGAUCCCUAGCUGGUCUGAGAGGAUGAUCAGCCACACUGGAACUGAGACACGGUCCAGACUCCUACGGGAGGCAGCAGUGGGGAAUAUUGCACAAUGGGCGCAAGCCUGAUGCAGCCAUGCCGCGUGUGUGAAGAAGGCCUUCGGGUUGUAAAGCACUUUCAGUCGUGAGGAAGGUGGUGUAGUUAAUAGCUGCAUUAUUUGACGUUAGCGACAGAAGAAGCACCGGCUAACUCCGUGCCAGCAGCCGCGGUAAUACGGAGGGUGCGAGCGUUAAUCGGAAUUACUGGCCGUAAAGCGCAUGCAGGUGGUUUGUUAAGUCAGAUGUGAAAGCCCGGGGCUCAACCUCGGAAUAGCAUUUGAAACUGGCAGACUAGAGUACUGUAGAGGGGGGUAGAAUUUCAGGUGUAGCGGUGAAAUGCGUAGAGAUCUGAAGGAAUACCGGUGGCGAAGGCGGCCCCCUGGACAGAUACUGACACUCAGAUGCGAAAGCGUGGGGAGCAAACAGGAUUAGAUACCCUGGUAGUCCACGCCGUAAACGAUGUCUACUUGGAGGUUGUGGGCCUUGAGCCGUGGCUUUCGGAGCUAACGCGUUAAGUAGACCGCCUGGGGAGUACGGUCGCAAGAUUAAAACUCAAUGAAUUGACGGAAGGGC